AGACCAGAAGUUCUUAAAGCCUGGUCCCUGGACCAGCAACAUCAGUACCUCCUGGGAGCUUGUUAGAAAAGCAGAUUUUCUGUGCUCACCCCUACCCACUGAAUCAGAAAUGAGGGUGAGGUGUGGUGGCUGUUUCACAGCCCUCCCGGGAUUCUGAUCCAUGCUAAAGAGUGGGAAGCACUGCUCCGGAUCUGCAGAGAAAUCCUGCUUUCAAAGAACUCACUAACGCCCCUACAAAACUACAAUUUUUAUGACUAGAAGCUCUGUGAAUACCUUAAACAAGGAAGCUGACAGAUUUAGUAAGAUCGCGUAGGUCAUGAUCGCAAAUGGGCUGCCCAAGGGCACGUCUUUCCCUUGGGUUUGUGCAUUUGUCCUGCACACAAUUAAAAACAUUUAACUAGUUGCCAGUAUUAAAGAAAUAGAAACUUCCA
RNAcentral lists this unclassified non-coding RNA (431 nucleotides) under Homo sapiens (human). RNAcentral describes it as "novel transcript (ENSG00000262517.1)". Lineage: Eukaryota; Metazoa; Chordata; Mammalia; Primates; Hominidae. The record is from RNAcentral.